AUCAUGGCUCAGGAUGAACGCUGGCGGCGUGCCUAACACAUGCAAGUCGAACGGAGCUGCUUUGAUGAGAUCUUCGGAUGGAUUUAAAACAGCUUAGUGGCGGACGGGUGAGUAACGCGUGGGUAACCUGCCUCACACUGGGGGAUAACAGUUAGAAAUAGCUGCUAAUACCGCAUAAGCGCACGGUUCCGCAUGGAACAGUGUGAAAAACUCCGGUGGUGUGAGAUGGACCCGCGUCUGAUUAGCCAGUUGGCGGGGUAACGGCCCACCAAAGCGACGAUCAGUAGCCGGCCUGAGAGGGUGAACGGCCACAUUGGGACUGAGACACGGCCCAAACUCCUACGGGAGGCAGCAGUGGGGAAUAUUGCACAAUGGGCGAAAGCCUGAUGCAGCAACGCCGCGUGAGCGAUGAAGGCCUUCGGGUCGUAAAGCUCUGUCCUCAAGGAAGAUAAUGACGGUACUUGAGGAGGAAGCCCCGGCUAACUACGUG
This 490-nucleotide ribosomal RNA is filed under the name uncultured bacterium. RNAcentral's name for it is "bacterial SSU rRNA". It matches the Rfam family "Bacterial small subunit ribosomal RNA", at positions 16 to 507 of the family's 1533-position model. The record is from RNAcentral.